CAUGUAGGCGGAUUAAUAAGUUUGAAGUGAAGUCCUAUAGCUUAACUAUAGAACUGCUUUGAAAACUGUUAAUCUAGAAUGUGGGAGAGGUAGAUGGAAUUUCUGGUGUAGGGGUAAAAUCCGUAGAGAUCAGAAGGAAUACCGAUUGCGAAGGCGAUCUACUGGAACAUUAUUGACGCUGAGAUGCGAAAGCGUGGGGAGCAAACA
This 207-nucleotide ribosomal RNA is filed under the name uncultured bacterium. RNAcentral's name for it is "partial 16S ribosomal RNA". It matches the Rfam family "Bacterial small subunit ribosomal RNA", at positions 568 to 774 of the family's 1533-position model. The record is from RNAcentral.